RNAcentral lists this ribosomal RNA (883 nucleotides) under Drepanopeziza salicis. RNAcentral describes it as "LSU rRNA". It matches the Rfam family "Eukaryotic large subunit ribosomal RNA", at positions 37 to 938 of the family's 3401-position model. The record is from RNAcentral. Lineage: Eukaryota; Fungi; Ascomycota; Leotiomycetes; Helotiales; Drepanopezizaceae.
AGCAUAUCAAUAAGCGGAGGAAAAGAAACCAACAGGGAUUACCUCAGUAACGGCGAGUGAAGCGGUAACAGCUCAAAUUUGAAAGCUGGCCCUUGCAGGGUCCGCGUUGUAAUUUGUAGAAGAUGCUUCGGGUGGGGCCCCGGUCUAAGUUCCUUGGAACAGGACGUCAUAGAGGGUGAGAAUCCCGUAUGCGACCGGCCGCCUCCGCCCGUGUGAAGCUCUUUCGACGAGUCGAGUUGUUUGGGAAUGCAGCUCAAAAUGGGUGGUAAAUUUCAUCUAAAGCUAAAUAUUGGCCAGAGACCGAUAGCGCACAAGUAGAGUGAUCGAAAGAUGAAAAGCACUUUGGAAAGAGAGUUAAACAGUACGUGAAAUUGUUGAAAGGGAAGCGCUUGCAACCAGACUUGCGCGUAGGUGAUCAUCCGGGCUUCUGCCCGGUGCACUCGCCUGCGCUCAGGCCAGCAUCGGUUUCGGUGGUGGGAUAAAGGCCUUGGGAACGUAGCUCCUCUCGGGGAGUGUUAUAGCCCUCGGUGCAAUGCCGCCUACCGGGACCGAGGACCGCGCUUCGGCUAGGAUGCUGGCGUAAUGGUUGUAAGCGACCCGUCUUGAAACACGGACCAAGGAGUCUAACAUCUAUGCGAGUGUUUGGGUGUCAAACCCAUACGCGUAAUGAAAGUGAACGGAGGUGAGAACCCUGAAGGGUGCAUCAUCGACCGAUCCUGAUGUCUUCGGAUGGAUUUGAGUAAGAGCAUAGCUGUUGGGACCCGAAAGAUGGUGAACUAUGCGUGAAUAGGGUGAAGCCAGAGGAAACACUGGUGGAGGCUCGCAGCGGUUCUGACGUGCAAAUCGAUCGUCAAAUUUGCGUAUAGGGCGAAAGACUAAUCGA